GUGGGGAAUCUUGCGCAAUGGGCGAAAGCCUGACGCAGCCAUGCCGCGUGAAUGAUGAAGGUCUUAGGAUUGUAAAAUUCUUUCACCGGGGACGAUAAUGACGGUACCCGGAGAAGAAGCUCCGGCUAACUUCGUGCCAGCAGCCGCGGUAAUACGAAGGGGGCUAGCGUUGCUCGGAAUUACUGGGCGUAAAGGGCGCGUAGGCGGACAGCUUAGUCAGAGGUGAAAGCCCAGGGCUCAACCUUGGAAUUGCCUUUGAUACUGGCUGUCUUGAGUUUGGGAGAGGUGAGUGGAACUCCGAGUGUAGAGGUGAAAUUCGUAGAUAUUCGGAAGAACACCAGUGGCGAAGGCAAUCCCCUGGGCCUGCACUGACGCUCAUGCACGAAAGCGUGGGGAGCAAACAGGAUUAGAAACCCCUGUAGUCC
Molecule: ribosomal RNA, 425 nt
Filed under: uncultured bacterium
Lineage: Bacteria
Description: partial 16S ribosomal RNA
Rfam family: Bacterial small subunit ribosomal RNA
Source: RNAcentral